Molecule: ribosomal RNA, 1494 nt
Filed under: metagenome
Description: bacterial SSU rRNA
Rfam family: Bacterial small subunit ribosomal RNA
Source: RNAcentral
AGAGUUUGAUCAUGGCUCAGGAUGAACGCUAGCUACAGGCUUAGCACAUGCAAGUCGAGGGGAAACGAUAUUGGAAGCUUGCUUCCGAUAGGCGUCGACCGGCGCACGGGUGAGUAACGCGUAUCCAACCUGCCCAUCACUUGGGGAUAACCUUGCGAAAGUAAGACUAAUACCCAAUGACGUCUCUAGAAGACAUCUGAAGGAGAUUAAAGAUUUAUCGGUGAUGGAUGGGGAUGCGUCAGAUUAGCUUGUUGGCGGGGUAACGGCCCACCAAGGCUACGAUCAGUAGGGGUUCUGAGAGGAAGGUCCCCCACAUUGGAACUGAGACACGGUCCAAACUCCUACGGGAGGCAGCAGUGAGGAAUAUUGGUCAAUGGACGAGAGUCUGAACCAGCCAAGUAGCGUGCAGGAUGACGGCCCUAUGGGUUGUAAACUGCUUUUAUAAGGGAAUAAAGUGAGCCUCGUGAGGCUUUUUGCAUGUACCUUAUGAAUAAGGACCGGCUAAUUCCGUGCCAGCAGCCGCGGUAAUACGGAAGGUCCGGGCGUUAUCCGGAUUUAUUGGGUUUAAAGGGAGCGUAGGCCGGAGAUUAAGCGUGUUGUGAAAUGUAGACGCUCAACGUCUGCACUGCAGCGCGAACUGGUUUCCUUGAGUACGCACAAAGUGGGCGGAAUUCGUGGUGUAGCGGUGAAAUGCUUAGAUAUCACGAAGAACUCCGAUUGCGAAGGCAGCUCACUGGAGCGCAACUGACGCUGAAGCUCGAAAGUGCGGGUAUCGAACAGGAUUAGAUACCCUGGUAGUCCGCACGGUAAACGAUGGAUGCCCGCUGUUGGUCUGAAUAGGUCAGCGGCCAAGCGAAAGCAUUAAGCAUCCCACCUGGGGAGUACGCCGGCAACGGUGAAACUCAAAGGAAUUGACGGGGGCCCGCACAAGCGGAGGAACAUGUGGUUUAAUUCGAUGAUACGCGAGGAACCUUACCAGGUCUUGACAUCGUAUGCAUAGCUCAGAGAUGAGUGAAAUCUCUUCGGAGACAUAUAGACAGGUGGUGCAUGGUUGUCGUCAGCUCGUGUCGUGAGAUGUUGGGUUAAGUCCCGCAACGAGCGCAACCCUUACUGUUAGUUGCUACGCAAGAGCACUCUAGCAGGACUGCCGUUGACAAAACGGAGGAAGGUGGGGAUGACGUCAAAUCAUCAUGCCCCUUAUGACCUGGGCCUCACACGUACUACAAUGGCUGUCAACAGAGGGAAGCAAAGCCGCGAGGUGGAGCGAACCCCUAAAAGCAGUCUUAGUUCGGAUUGUAGGCUGCAACCCGCCUACAUGAAGUCGGAAUUGCUAGUAAUCGCAGAUCAGCAUGCUGCGGUGAAUACGUUCCCGGGCCUUGUACACACCGCCCAUCACGCCAUGGGAGUCGGUAACACCCGAAGCCUGUAGUCUAACCGCAAGGAGGACGCAGUCGAAGGUGGGAUUGAUGACUGGGGUGAAGUCGUAACAAGGUA